This 699-nucleotide ribosomal RNA is filed under the name uncultured Gammaproteobacteria bacterium. RNAcentral describes it as "bacterial SSU rRNA". It matches the Rfam family "Bacterial small subunit ribosomal RNA", at positions 60 to 749 of the family's 1533-position model. The record is from RNAcentral. Lineage: Bacteria; Pseudomonadati; Pseudomonadota; Gammaproteobacteria.
AGUCGAACGGUAACGACACUAGCUUGCUAGUGGGCGACGAGUGGCGGACGGGUGAGUAACGCGUAGGAAUCUACCUAGUAGUGGGGGAUAGCCAAGGGAAACUUUGGGUAAUACCGCAUACGAUCUAAGGAUGAAAGGGGGCCUCUCUUUGAAGCUCUCGCUAUUAGAUGAGCCUGCGUAAGAUUAGCUUGUUGGUGAGGUAAUGGCUCACCAAGGCGACGAUCUUUAGCUGGUCUGAGAGGAUGAUCAGUCACACUGGAACUGAGACACGGUCCAGACUCCUACGGGAGGCAGCAGUCGGGAAUAUUGGACAAUGGGGGAAACCCUGAUCCAGCCAUGCCGCGUGUAUGAAGAAGGCCCUAGGGUUGUAAAGCACUUUUAGUAGUGAGGAAGGCUCAGUAGUUAAUACCUACUGGGAUUGACGUUAGCUACAGAAAAAGCACCGGCUAAUUUCGUGCCAGCAGCCGCGGUAAUACGAAAGGUGCAAGCGUUAAUCGGAAUUACUGGGCGUAAAGCGCGCGUAGGCGGCUUGGUAAGUUGGAUGUGAAAGCCCCGGGCUCAACCUGGGAACUGCAUCCAAAACUGCCUAGCUAGAGUAUGGUAGAGGAUGGCGGAAUUUCCUGUGUAGCGGUGAAAUGCGUAGAUAUAGGAAGGAACAUCAGUGGCGAAGGCGGCCAUCUGGACCAAUACUGACGCUGA